Monodelphis domestica (gray short-tailed opossum) is the source of this 74-nucleotide non-coding RNA. Lineage: Eukaryota; Metazoa; Chordata; Mammalia; Didelphimorphia; Didelphidae. The record is from Rfam.
GGCUGGGUAGCUCAGUGGAUUGAGAGCUAAGCCUAGAGGUGGGAGGUCCUAGGUUCGAAUCCAGGCCUCAGCCA